AUAGAAAAUAUGUUAUUUUUAGUGAUACAUAUUAUGUCGAACAAGUUUUUAACAUGGGAGGUCAGAUAGUAGAUGAACACCGACUAAAAUAAACCUUAGUGUGCUUUGAUUAACCGAAUAUUUACAACAUGAAUACAUUCAAGAUAAUGAAAAAAUAAUUAUCUUGAAUGCAUAAUACAACAUGAAUGCAUAAUUGUCG
This 199-nucleotide long non-coding RNA is filed under the name Capsella rubella. RNAcentral's name for it is "long non-coding RNA (CRUB_LNC000817)". The record is from RNAcentral. Lineage: Eukaryota; Viridiplantae; Streptophyta; Magnoliopsida; Brassicales; Brassicaceae.